Long non-coding RNA from Poeciliopsis prolifica (blackstripe livebearer), 5607 nucleotides. RefSeq lists it as uncharacterized. The transcript has 2 exons. NCBI's taxonomy places the organism in Eukaryota, Metazoa, Chordata, Actinopteri, Cyprinodontiformes, Poeciliidae. The record is from RefSeq and is a predicted model, not a curated record.
CAAAUGUCACAAUUAUUUUUUUAAAUUAUAUAAUUGGAGAAUCAUCUUUAGAAUUUUCUGCCAUUUUAUUCCCUUUUUAUGUUCUUCAAAAGGAAUAAACCCCAAGUAAGUGCUAGUAAAGUGAAGUGAGGAGAAGAGGAAGAGAAGGGAUAAUAGAGGAGGAACGACAACAAAGACGAAGAGGAAGAAAAAGUUUUCUUUGUGAAGCCAGGAAGGAAACACUGCCAAGGAAUGAAAGGAUGAGAGAGGGGGGUCAGGUUCUUUAACCUUCCUUUCUUCUUGCUCAGGCCCUGUGUUAGGCUCAGCUGCUGAGCAACACACCCUGCCUGAAGGUCCUUUCUGACCCAACAUGGCCCUCACACAAAGACUUUGUCCAUCAUUGAAAGCAAUCUUCCCACAGAAUGCAAAGUUCUCCAGGAAUUUGCCUUCACUUUGUUAAAGUGUCAACUGUGUUGCGAUCUCAGAGGCAGAGAACGCUGUUUAUUUGGAGGUUAAAACUUCUAAUUAACAAACAAGCAACAAAACACACAGGUUCAUUGUGGUCAGAUAAUAGAUUAAGUGUUUAGUUACUUAGAGGGAGCCCGUGUCAUGGCGUCAGCCCCUCCCCAACCUGUUGACACUUCCUCCAGAUGGUGUCUACAGCGUUUAACUGAACAUGUGGGAAAUAAACCGAUUGUGUGUAAUAGUUAGUAACUCUGCAUCAGACAUCAGCAUGUCUGAUGCAGAGUUUUCAGCACAUUUUCAGCAUGUGAUAAUGCAUAUUUAAUUCUUAAUGAGAAAAAUGAAUGUAAUGUAGAAUAUACAUUUUUUCUCAAUUCUUCAAACUAGAGCAAGUUCUAAUGAGGUCUAGGGUGCCAUGCGUGGCCCUAAGAAUUAGUUUGUACGGCUCCUGUGUUUUCAAAUUAGGUUUCCAUGGCAAGUUUAGAUCUGUCUAAAUGGAAGAUAAGUAAGUGUUAAGUACCACACAAAGAUUUUUUUCGUCCUCUUUUUGUUCUCUUUUCAAUUCAUAGAAAGACACCCUGAAAAUCCUGCUACUCUUUACUCAGAAACACACUUGGGCUCAUUCACCCAUCACACUGGCUGAACAUAGUCAAGAUCUUAAAAAGAAGAUUCCUGUUUUUGCUGCUGGAAAUGAACUAAAAGCAUUUUAUUGACCAAAAAACAGAAAACAACUGGCCCAAAAAACUGUAAACAUUACAGCAAAUGUCACACUAAUGUUGGUUUUAUGAAAAUAUUGCCUGUUUAAAUCAUUACUGUGCAUUCGUGUUGCUCUACUUUUAAUCGCUGGACAUUUGGAAUGCGGACUGAACGGCUUCAUUCAUUUUCUCUACUGUUCUUCCUAAACUGCAGACUGCAAUUCUAAAACAGCGCAGAAAAUCAACAUUUACAAUGUUUCCUUCUGUUCCCUGAAAGGCCCGAAUGAAAUUCAUCUUGAGAAACUAAUCUCAAUGGGAGAAGCACCAAGGGGUGAUGAGAAUCAAUCAAUCAAUCAAUCAAUCAAUCAAUCAAUCAAUCAAUCAAUCAAUCAAUCAAUCAAUCAAUCAAUCAAUCAAUCAAUCAAUCAAUCAAUCAAUCAAUCAAUCAUUCAAUCAAUCAAGUUUAUUUGUUCAGCACAUUUCAGCAACAUAAAACAUAUAAAUACAUAAUUUAGUCACCAGUUCCAAAACCAAUAACGAUUAUUUCUGGCAAUUGUCAGGCUGCAUUUUAUGGUCAAAAAUUAGUUUUUGACCAGUAGAGUCUUAACAUAAUAUAUAUUUUUAUGAAUUCCUCUGAUUACCUAAAACUAAAGUCAAACUCCAUGGUUUAAGUUUCGGGAGUGGGAAAUGCUUUGUUUCCGGGUGUGUGACAGAACUGAACUGACCUAACGCUGCUCUGUUGAGUCUGCAGCCAUGUGAACGGUCUGAUGUUGGACAGUCCAGCUUCUAUGUCUCUGCUGUACCCUCUGCCCUCCAUCCUCUCUUUACAUAGAUUAAGAUAGCCGGGUCAGCCCCUCCCUCACCUCCCACCACCCAGUAGGGGGGUUAAUUGAGAUCAGCAGGGGGAGCACACGUCUGAUUGACAUGGCCGACGGGGACCGAGGCGAUGGCUUUUUACCGGGGCCUGUUGUUCAUUUUAAUUGUUGUCUCAGCUCUUUGUCGUCGGGUGGAGACCCGGAGGGCAGGAAGACAAGAGGGAUGGACGGGGGGAGAGUAGAUGGGAGCGGAGGGAGUGGACACUGGUGAUUUACAUUAACAUGUAGUGAAAUAAACAAGCAGAGAAGUCAAGCGUUAAAUCAACUUGGAGAGAGAGAGACUGAGAGAAAGGCUCCAGGGUGAGAGGGGAACAGAGAGGAGGAGAAUGUGUAUGUGCUCCAAAACAAACGCUCUGUUUUAUUGUUCUAUUAGCGCGCACUGAAUUUCCAUGCAGAAAAGCACACACACACGCACACACGCGCACCUACACACACACAGGCAUGCUGUCAGAUUUGAACGUCUAGUCUCUGUUUUCUUUCUCGAGUAUUUUAGUAUUCUAAUCCAUCACUGGCCUGACAUGGGGAUGCUGUUUCCCUCUCUUCCUCCAUGCUGCUGCUCAUACACGGCAUCCGAACGGAAGAUAAAGGCAGAGCAGAGGGAAAAACAAACUCCACAGCAGGGAGAGCUUUAUCCAGACAGAUAAAGCGGUGGAAUAAAGCAGCGACGUAGAGAUACAGUGGAAGUGGAAGAUGUGGAAGGACAGCAGAAACAGGGGAAGUAAGCGACUGAAGAGGGAGAGGAUGAGUGAAAGGGUGGAGAUGAGAGAGGGGAAAACAGAGAAAGAGUAGAAAAUCAAGGCAGAAACAGAUUGUGCGUGUGAGUGUGUGUAGCAAUGAGUUGCGGCUGAAGUCUGAACCUCCCUGCUCCAUUUCACACUCUGUAGGUCCUGACGCAUCAGUGCUAGAAGACACACAAACUGUCAUCCAUACACACACACACACACACCCACACACACACACACACAAAGACUGCGUCCUUCCUUUUUGAUUUCACAUCCACAAAAACAUACUUACUGUGAUUUCUGAAUCAUUCAUAUGAAUAAAGACAGAAUCACAGACACACAGUCCUGCAGCUUUAACCCUCUGGAUUUGAGAGAGGAGUUCCCUCUGGAAGUCAGAGCAUUUUUUUAAGGCACUUAUGUGAUUGCUCAUGUACAGAGCUGCUACACAACUAAACUUAUGACACUAAUAUACUGUAAAUUACAUUACAAUAAAACACCCUCAGCAUUGCUGAUUUGAUUGCUUUAUUUUUUACUUUAGUUGCCGCGGUGAAGUUUUGUCCUGCGUCAGAUCAUCUCCUGUGGAGAACAGGAAUUAAAGAUGUUAUUUAUCUAUUAUUACAAAAGUAUAUUUGUAAAUUUAUUUUAAAAAACCCAAAUAAACUUUGACAUCGUUUACUAUUUUGGGCAUUACACAAAGCAUUAUAUUUUACUAGUCUCAUAACAUUUUAUGUUUUUGGUUUUUCUUUGGCCGAUCUUUGUAAAUUGAGUUGAAGUAGAUUUAAAAUACAUACAAAAAAAAUUAUAAAAUUUACCAGUAAUAAUACCCAUUAGUGGGUGAACUUCCACUAAUCCAACAAUGUGCUCCUAGUGGAGCUAAUUUCUUGUUUAGCACUUCAAUGCUUUUAGCUUUGAAAAUGUUUAGUGCAUCUAAACACAAAUGUAUAUGGAAACAUUUAGAUUUUACAAUCUAAAUGUUUCCAUAUAGAUCCUAAAACUCUGAUUUACUGGACUCUUUUGUAAUAUUUCAUUUGAAUAAAGGACAGCAAGUUAAAAAAUCUUGAAAUAGUUGGAUAUUUACACUCAUACUCUUAUUUUGAAGUGGUUGAACACUGUACACAUCAACUUUGUUUCCGCUCACGUUUUUUCCCCUUUUUUUGAACUUUGAUUGAAUUUAUAUUGACUCAAAUCAAAUUCAAAUCCAGUGUUAUUUUUUGAUGGGUUUUUUUCCUGUGGUGUCAGUUAGCCGCAGUCAGCUAGCACUGAAUGUAGCACCACUUCUCCAUGUAACAACCACUGUGGAGACAAGUCAGAAUUAGCGCCUUAAAUAAAUGAGAUGAAACUUCAGAGGGAUGUAAAAAACAACCUUAAAGCUUGUUAUUAUGAAUUACUUCUGCUCAUACUGUAGCAAGACUGUAGCAGUAAACCCCAGAAUGUAUCGUGACCUGUAUUUGUUAUGAAUGAAGUGUUUUUUUUGUGUUAAGUCUUUGAUCAGUGUGUUACCGUUCUGUUCCGGCUCGGUUCUUAAUGUAUGAAAUGCUUCGACAUGCACAGGUUUGGUUCAGUAACAACAGUUAACGGAUCUAUCAAGCACCGUCUAUUAUCAAUUCAGACAACAAUUUGUGUAAAAAAAAAAAAGAAAAAGUGGAUUGUGUGCUGUAUGUUGUUAUUUUACCCUUCAUUCAUUAGCAUUUCUGGUAGUAUAUUCAUAUAUCCUCACACCUAUAUGAGAAUAUUGAUGCUGCUAACGGAGUCUCCAGUCAUCUCAUGCUGACUCUGAGUGGGAUCAGCUUUGAACAUUUAAAGAGACGGUGCAGGACAAGACGUGGAGCUGGAGGCCCUCACACGCCUCCUGAACUCUCAGAAAGACUCUGUCCUUCGUCCCACAUGGAUCGCUAUUUGAGAUAUCUGCGUGGUGUUUUUUUGUCUCUUUAGCUGAAUGUUGUUGUUUUGUUUUUUUCAGCCGUAACAGAUGCACAAUCCUUUUACUGUCUGCAAUUCGUUGCCAUGGAUACCCGUGGCUCACCUAGGCUGCUGCACCCCGGGUGAUCCCAAAAGCUCUUAUCCCGGCAGGUGCCUGGCUGAAUGGGACAUCAUCGCUGCGGAGAUUGAGGCGAUGACACACACACAUGCACACACACCAAGCAAGAGAGCACAAACAUGGGCUCAAACAGUCACAGACUUGGAAAUGAGGCUGGCUUUCAUGAGUGAGCGGCUGCAGUUUCAAAAGUCGUCUCCCCCAAACAGAGACAGUCACUGGAGGGGAACCCUGUAGAGACGGACAAAUCCCCACCUCCCCUCACCCGUCACCCCUGUUUGAGUCUGUCACCUGUUAACCUUUGCUAAUUCUACACUGAAGCCAGAAACUGUUCCAUCUAAAUGCUUUUGAAGAACAUUGACCGCUGCCACCUCCAUCCCACUGCCCCCGGCUUCCUGUCUACAGCAUGUCAGUAUUCAGUACGAGGGAGUCGGAGCCCACAGGACGGCCUCUCCCGCUCUGUUCCAUGUUAGUGUGUUAUUUUCUUAUGCUCUGCCGGGCCUGUGCUUUAUUUUGCCUGUUCAAACUGUUGAUGACUGUUUCAUAAGCACACAAACCUCAACAGACCCUCUGGCACACACAUAGGGAGAAGACUGCAAAAAAGAGAUGGAAGCGCUGGCCCUGGUUGCUACAGAUCAGAGGGUUUCCAAGCUGUGUUGUUUUAAAAACUUGGUAUCUCAGUGAGUAUAUAUGUGGCCUCGCAUGAAAUAUUUCAAUUUCCGAUCAUCCGGUGUCAUUUUGUCCCACUGAAUGUGCCCAGAGGGAAUAUGAAGCACUCCAUGCCUCUGCUGUAUUCACCUGUGAAUAAUAAAAUAAAUGUACAAGCUGACCUUUCUUUA